Molecule: small nuclear RNA, 156 nt
Organism: Impatiens glandulifera
Lineage: Eukaryota; Viridiplantae; Streptophyta; Magnoliopsida; Ericales; Balsaminaceae
Product: U1 spliceosomal RNA
Exons: 1
Source: RefSeq, a predicted model, not a curated record
GUACUUACCUUGACGGGUCUAUGGGUAAUCAUUAAGGCACAUAGCCUAGAUUGGUGACUUAUAUUGCACUUUAUAGGGGUGCCCGUCUAAAGUUAGCCCAUGGUUGAGCCUACGUCAUAAUUCGUGUUAGAAGGGAAUGUGUUCGCGCAACCCUUA